AGCAGCCGCGGUAAUUCCAGCUCCAAUAGCGUAUAUUAAAGUUGUUGCAGUUAAAAAGCUCGUAGUUGAAUUUCGGGACCAAUCUGCCGGUCGUGCCUCCGGUACGCACUGGUUCUAUUGGUUUCUCCCUUCUGACGAACCAUGAUGUCAUUAAUUUGGUGUCAUGGGGAAUCAGGACUGUUACUUUGAAAAAAUUAGAGUGUUUAUAGCAGGCUCACGCUUGAAUACAUUAGCAUGGAAUAAUGAAAUAGGACGUUUGACCCUAUUUUGUUGGUUUCUAGGAUCGACGUAAUGAUUAAUAGGGAUAGUUGGGGGCAUUAGUAUUCAAUUGUCAGAGGUGAAAUUCUUGGAUUUAUUGAAGACUAACUACUGCGAAAGCAUUUGCCAAGGAUGUUUUCAUUAAUCAAGAACGAAGGUUAGGGGAUCGAAGACGAUCAGAUACCGUCGUAGUCUUAACCAUAAACUAUGCCGACUAGGGAUCGGAUGAUGUUAAUUUUUUUAAUGACUCAUUCGGCGCCUU
Molecule: ribosomal RNA, 520 nt
Filed under: uncultured Glomus
Lineage: Eukaryota; Fungi; Glomeromycota; Glomeromycetes; Glomerales; Glomeraceae
Description: SSU rRNA
Rfam family: Eukaryotic small subunit ribosomal RNA
Source: RNAcentral